This 443-nucleotide ribosomal RNA is filed under the name uncultured bacterium. RNAcentral describes it as "partial 16S ribosomal RNA". It matches the Rfam family "Bacterial small subunit ribosomal RNA", at positions 338 to 795 of the family's 1533-position model. The record is from RNAcentral.
CCUACGGGUGGCAGCAGUGGGGGAUAUUGGACAAUGGGGGCAACCCUGAUCCAGCGACGCCGCGUGAGUGAAGAAGUAUUUCGGUAUGUAAAGCUCUAUCAGCAGGGAAGAAAGAAAUGACGGUACCUGAGUAAGAAGCUCCGGCUAACUACGGGCCAGCAGCCGCCAUACUCCGUGGGGUGCAAGGGUUCUCCGGAGUUACUGGGGGGAAAGGGAGCGUAGACGGUAAUGCAAGUCUGGAGUGAAAGGCGGGGGCCCACCCCCGGGACUGCUCUGGACACUGUGUAACUGGAGUGCCGGAGAGGCAGGCGGAAUUCCUAGUGUAGCGGUGAAAUGCGUAGAUAUUAGGAGGAACACCAGUGGCGAAGGCGGCCUGCUGGACUGUAACUGACGUUGAGGCUCGAAAGCGUGGGGAGCAAACAGGAUUAGAUACCCCAGUAGUC